CUGCAAUUCCUGCGCCCAGGGCAGGGCUGGAGGGGGCCCUGGGCUCUCUCUGCAGGAGCUGUUUCACACUUGGGCUCCCCACAUACUCGGGACACGUGGUGCUUCAAGUCUCCGUGUUCACGCCUGCACGUGAGUGCGCUGUGCGCUGGGAGAGGCUUCACAGAAAUGCGUCCAGGCCUGAGCUAAACGUGGCUGCCCCUGGCCCCUGGGGGAGCUUGGCCCCGGCCCAGCGUCUGUCCUUCACUGAACACAGUGGGCCGUGCCCAGAUCGCGGAAUAAGAGGCCACAGGAGAGAUGCAGGACAUCCGACUGGUCCAGCCACCUCCUUGCAUGUGGGGCAGAUGUGGAAAUUUCAUCAGGGAGAAAAGAAAUCACUUGCUCCAAAACCCCGCGUCCAGAAUUCUGUUUCCCUGGAAAUACGCCCAGGAUGGGGAUUUUCACACCUAUGGGAAGUUGCAUUGUUGGGCAUCAUUGUCCUAAUUCUUCACCCUCCCUUCCCUGGAUCCUUGGCCUUUGUCACGUGACUUUGUAUGUUUCCCCUCUAGAUGUGGAGUCUCUUGUCUCGUUGAGGUUGGAUUUGGUUAUGUGAUUUGCUCUGCCUGAUGGGAUGUGGGCAGAGGGUUGAAUGUGCUUGCCCAGCUGGUCCUGACCUCCUGUGCUCCACCUUCUCUAUGAGAAGAAUAUGCCUCUGGUGUCACUGGUCCUGGGAAGAUGAGAGACUCGUGGACAGACCCGGACUCGACCCUUAGCUUGAAACCAAGUAAAGCCAGGCCCGGCCUGGAUGUGA
Long non-coding RNA from Lagenorhynchus albirostris (white-beaked dolphin), 787 nucleotides. RefSeq lists it as uncharacterized. The record is from RefSeq and is a predicted model, not a curated record. The transcript is spliced from 3 exons. Lineage: Eukaryota; Metazoa; Chordata; Mammalia; Artiodactyla; Delphinidae.